GACGAACGCUGGCGGCGUGCCUAAUACAUGCGAGUCGAACGAGAGCGACCGGUGCUUGCACUGGUCAAUCUAGUGGCGAACGGGUGAGUAACACGUGGGUAACCUGCCCAUCAGAGGGGGAUAUCAUCCGGAAACGGAUGCUAAAACCGCAUAGGUCUUCGAGCCGCAUGGCUUGAAGAGGAAAAGAGGCGCAAGCUUCUGCUGAUGGAUGGACCCGCGGUGCAUUAGCUAGUUGGUGAGGUAACGGCUCACCAAGGCCGUGAUGCAUAGCCGACCUGAGAGGGUGAUCGGCCACAUUGGGACUGAGACACGGCCCAAACUCCUACGGGAGGCAGCAGUAGGGAAUCUUCCGCAAUGGACGCAAGUCUGACGGAGCAACGCCGCGCGAGUGAAGAAGGUUUUCGGAUCGUAAAACUCUGUCGUUAGAGAAGAACAAGUGCUAGAGUAACUGUUAGCGCCUUGACGGUAUCUAACCAGAAAGCCACGGCUAACUACGUG
RNAcentral lists this ribosomal RNA (498 nucleotides) under uncultured bacterium. RNAcentral describes it as "partial 16S ribosomal RNA". It matches the Rfam family "Bacterial small subunit ribosomal RNA", at positions 28 to 507 of the family's 1533-position model. The record is from RNAcentral.